Molecule: ribosomal RNA, 351 nt
Filed under: uncultured organism
Description: bacterial LSU rRNA
Rfam family: Bacterial large subunit ribosomal RNA
Source: RNAcentral
CUUUACUGCAUUUUUACAUUGUUACUAUAAUUAAAUUAUGUAGAAUAAGUGGGAGUUUUAUAAUGCAAAUUAUAAAACAUCAGUGAAAUACCACUUUUUUUAAUUUUAGAACUAUAUCUUAGAUUAAUUUAAGAGACCGUGUAUGAUUGGUAGUUUAACUGGGGCGGUUUCCUCCUAAAGAGUAACGGAGGAGUACAAAGGUAGGCUCAAACUGGAUUAAACAUCAGUUGUGGAGUGUAAUGGUAAAAGCCUGCUUGACUAUAAGACGGACACGUCAAAUAGAAACGCAAGUUUGUCAUAGUGACCCGGUAAUUUUAUAUGGAAAAAUUAUCGCUCAACGGAUAAAAGGUA